This 490-nucleotide ribosomal RNA is filed under the name uncultured bacterium. RNAcentral describes it as "partial 16S ribosomal RNA". It matches the Rfam family "Bacterial small subunit ribosomal RNA", at positions 28 to 507 of the family's 1533-position model. The record is from RNAcentral.
GAUGAACGCUAGCUACAGGCUUAACACAUGCAAGUCGCGGGGCAGCAUGGGGGUUGCUUGCAAUCCCCGAUGGCGACCGGCGCACGGGUGAGUAACGCGUAUCCAACCUGCCCUUCACCACGGGAUAACCCGGCGAAAGUCGGACUAAUACCGUAUGUUGUCCAUUGACGGCAUCCGAUUUGGACGAAAGGCUUGGCGGUGAGGGAUGGGGAUGCGUCCGAUUAGCCAGACGGCGGGGUAACGGCCCACCGUGGCUACGAUCGGUAGGGGUUCUGAGAGGAAGGUCCCCCACACUGGAACUGAGACACGGUCCAGACUCCUACGGGAGGCAGCAGUGAGGAAUAUUGGUCAAUGGGCGUAAGCCUGAACCAGCCAAGUAGCGUGCAGGAGGACGGCCCUAUGGGUUGUAAACUGCUUUUAUGCGGGGAUAAAGUGGCCCACGUGUGGGCUUUUGCAGGUACCGCAUGAAUAAGGACCGGCUAAUUCCGUG